This 2900-nucleotide ribosomal RNA is filed under the name Klebsiella pneumoniae. RNAcentral describes it as "bacterial LSU rRNA". It matches the Rfam family "Bacterial large subunit ribosomal RNA". The record is from RNAcentral. Lineage: Bacteria; Pseudomonadati; Pseudomonadota; Gammaproteobacteria; Enterobacterales; Enterobacteriaceae.
UUAAGCGACUAAGCGUACACGGUGGAUGCCCUGGCAGUCAGAGGCGAUGAAGGACGUGCUAAUCUGCGAAAAGCGUCGGUAAGGUGAUAUGAACCGUUAUAACCGGCGAUGUCCGAAUGGGGAAACCCAGUGUGAUUCGUCACACUAUCGUUAACUGAAUACAUAGGUUAACGAGGCGAACCGGGGGAACUGAAACAUCUAAGUACCCCGAGGAAAAGAAAUCAACCGAGAUUCCCCCAGUAGCGGCGAGCGAACGGGGAGCAGCCCAGAGUCUGAAUCAGCUUGUGUGUUAGUGGAACGGUCUGGAAAGKCCGACGGUACAGGGUGAUAGUCCCGUACACCAAAAUGCACAGGCUGUGAACUCGAAGAGUAGGGCGGGACACGUGGUAUCCUGUCUGAAUAUGGGGGGACCAUCCUCCAAGGCUAAAUACUCCUGACUGACCGAUAGUGAACCAGUACCGUGAGGGAAAGGCGAAAAGAACCCCGGCGAGGGGAGUGAAAAAGAACCUGAAACCGUGUACGUACAAGCAGUGGGAGCACCUUCGGGUGUGACUGCGUACCUUUUGUAUAAUGGGUCAGCGACUUAUAUUCUGUAGCAAGGUUAACCGUAUAGGGGAGCCGCAGGGAAACCGAGUCUUAACUGGGCGUUAAGUUGCAGGGUAUAGACCCGAAACCCGGUGAUCUAGCCAUGGGCAGGUUGAAGGUUGGGUAACACUAACUGGAGGACCGAACCGACUAAUGUUGAAAAAUUAGCGGAUGACUUGUGGCUGGGGGUGAAAGGCCAAUCAAACCGGGAGAUAGCUGGUUCUCCCCGAAAGCUAUUUAGGUAGCGCCUCGUGAAUUCAUCUUCGGGGGUAGAGCACUGUUUCGGCUAGGGGGUCAUCCCGACUUACCAACCCGAUGCAAACUACGAAUACCGAAGAAUGUUAUCACGGGAGACACACGGCGGGUGCUAACGUCCGUCGUGAAGAGGGAAACAACCCAGACCGCCAGCUAAGGUCCCAAAGUCAUGGUUAAGUGGGAAACGAUGUGGGAAGGCACAGACAGCCAGGAUGUUGGCUUAGAAGCAGCCAUCAUUUAAAGAAAGCGUAAUAGCUCACUGGUCGAGUCGGCCUGCGCGGAAGAUGUAACGGGGCUAAACCAUGCACCGAAGCUGCGGCAGCGACACUAUGUGUUGUUGGGUAGGGGAGCGUUCUGUAAGCCUGCGAAGGUGUGCUGUGAGGCAUGCUGGAGGUAUCAGAAGUGCGAAUGCUGACAUAAGUAACGAUAAAGCGGGUGAAAAGCCCGCUCGCCGGAAGACCAAGGGUUCCUGUCCAACGUUAAUCGGGGCAGGGUGAGUCGACCCCUAAGGCGAGGCCGAAAGGCGUAGUCGAUGGGAAACAGGUUAAUAUUCCUGUACUUGGUGUUACUGCGAAGGGGGGACGGAGAAGGCUAUGUUAGCCGGGCGACGGUUGUCCCGGUUUAAGCAUGUAGGCUGGUUAUCCAGGCAAAUCCGGAUAAUCAAGGCUGAGGUGUGAUGACGAGGCACUACGGUGCUGAAGUAACAAAUGCCCUGCUUCCAGGAAAAGCCUCUAAGCAUCAGGUAACAUCAAAUCGUACCCCAAACCGACACAGGUGGUCAGGUAGAGAAUACCAAGGCGCUUGAGAGAACUCGGGUGAAGGAACUAGGCAAAAUGGUGCCGUAACUUCGGGAGAAGGCACGCUGGUGUGUAGGUGAAGUCCCUGCGGAUGGAGCUGAGACCAGUCGAAGAUACCAGCUGGCUGCAACUGUUUAUUAAAAACACAGCACUGUGCAAACACGAAAGUGGACGUAUACGGUGUGACGCCUGCCCGGUGCCGGAAGGUUAAUUGAUGGGGUUAUCCGUAAGGAGAAGCUCUUGAUCGAAGCCCCGGUAAACGGCGGCCGUAACUAUAACGGUCCUAAGGUAGCGAAAUUCCUUGUCGGGUAAGUUCCGACCUGCACGAAUGGCGUAAUGAUGGCCAGGCUGUCUCCACCCGAGACUCAGUGAAAUUGAACUCGCUGUGAAGAUGCAGUGUACCCGCGGCAAGACGGAAAGACCCCGUGAACCUUUACUAUAGCUUGACACUGAACAUUGAGCCUUGAUGUGUAGGAUAGGUGGGAGGCUUUGAAGCGUGGACGCCAGUCUGCGUGGAGCCAACCUUGAAAUACCACCCUUUAAUGUUUGAUGUUCUAACGUUGGCCCCUUACCGGGGUUGCGGACAGUGUCUGGUGGGUAGUUUGACUGGGGCGGUCUCCUCCCAAAGCGUAACGGAGGAGCACGAAGGUUAGCUAAUCCUGGUCGGACAUCAGGAGGUUAGUGCAAUGGCAUAAGCUAGCUUGACUGCGAGCGUGACGGCGCGAGCAGGUGCGAAAGCAGGUCAUAGUGAUCCGGUGGUUCUGAAUGGAAGGGCCAUCGCUCAACGGAUAAAAGGUACUCCGGGGAUAACAGGCUGAUACCGCCCAAGAGUUCAUAUCGACGGCGGUGUUUGGCACCUCGAUGUCGGCUCAUCACAUCCUGGGGCUGAAGUAGGUCCCAAGGGUAUGGCUGUUCGCCAUUUAAAGUGGUACGCGAGCUGGGUUUAGAACGUCGUGAGACAGUUCGGUCCCUAUCUGCCGUGGGCGCUGGAGAAUUGAGGGGGGCUGCUCCUAGUACGAGAGGACCGGAGUGGACGCAUCACUGGUGUUCGGGUUGUCAUGCCAAUGGCACUGCCCGGUAGCUAAAUGCGGAAGAGAUAAGUGCUGAAAGCAUCUAAGCACGAAACUUGCCCCGAGAUGAGUUCUCCCUGAGACUUUAAGUCUCCUGAAGGAACGUUGAAGACGACGACGUUGAUAGGCCGGGUGUGUAAGCGCAGCGAUGCGUUGAGCUAACCGGUACUAAUGAACCGUGAGGCUUAACCUU